CCCGACUGCUAUUUGGGUGAGAAUAAGCCAUGCGAGUUGAAUGGAAUACCUAAAUUUUCCAUAGCAAACUGCUCAAUAACACGUGAUCAACUUACCCUAUAGAGAAAAAUAACCUCGGGAAACUGAGGAUAAUAUUUCAUAGUUGAAAAGGCUUGGAAAAGUUUUUCAAUCAAAGGGAUAAGAAAAAUGGUUCUUAUCUGCUAUAGGAUAGGAUCGUGGUCGAUUAUGGUUGUUGGUGAGGCAAUGGCUCACCAAGCCGAUAAUCGAUAGGGGCCGUGAGAGCGGGAGCCCCGAGAUGGGUACUGAGACAACGACCCAGGUCUUACGAGACGCAGCAGGCGCGAAACCUCCGCAAUACACGAAAGUGUGACGGGGUUACCCAAAGUGUUCAAUUUUGAACUGUGGUAGGUGAGUAAUGUCCCCUACUAGAAAGGAGAGGGCAAGGCUGGUGCCAGCCGCCGCGGUAAAACCAGCUCUUCAAGUGGUCGGGAUAAUAUUGGGCUUAAAGUGUCCGUAGCCGGUUUAGUAAGUUCCUGGUAAAAUCGGGUAGCUUAACUAUCUGCAUGCUAGGAAUACUGCUAUACUAGAGGGCGGGAGAGGUCUGAGGUACUUCAGGGGUAGGGGUGAAAUCCUAUAAUCCUUGAAGGACCACCAGUGGCGAAGGCGUCAGACUGGAACGCGCCUGACAGUGAGGGACGAAAGCCAGGGGAGCGAACCGGAUUAGAUACCCGGGUAGUCCUGGCCGUAAACGAUGCACACUAGGUGUUGGUAUGGCUAUGAGCCAUAUCAGUGCCGAAGGGAAACCAUUAAGUGUGCCGCCUGGGAAGUACGGUCGCAAGGCUAAAACUUAAAGGAAUUGGCGGGGGGGCACCACAAGGGGUGAAGCCUGCGGUUCA
RNAcentral lists this ribosomal RNA (896 nucleotides) under uncultured archaeon. Its description in RNAcentral is "bacterial SSU rRNA". It matches the Rfam family "Archaeal small subunit ribosomal RNA", at positions 21 to 904 of the family's 1478-position model. The record is from RNAcentral.